ACCUCAUUAAGGAAGCAUUUGGAAUUAUAUGAGUGCUGAUAAAUUUCAAAUUGUGUAAUUUAAGGAGAAACUACAACCGAAUUGUACCUUAAACAGAAAUUGGCUCUGUUUGCAUUCACAGGCAGUUUACAAGAAGCAGGAAAUACUCCCCAUUUAUCAGCUUGCCUGGGUUUCAUCAUGUGGUAAAUGCAAGAAAGACUCUGUAGACUAGUUGAUCAUGCUUAACAGACCUCAGUUUUUCAGUGGCCUUUGACCCACCAGAAGUAGUAUUUUGACCUGAUCCAGCAUCAGGUCAUUCAAGGUGGCCCAGUGUUUUGUUGGUUCGAAUCCUGGGCACGGACAUGGCACUGCUCAUCAAACCAUGCUGAGGCAGCAUCCCACAUGCUACAACUAGAAGGACCCACAACGAAGAAUGUGCAACUAUGUACUGGGGGGCUUUGUGGAGAAAAAG
This 451-nucleotide long non-coding RNA is filed under the name Equus caballus (horse). RNAcentral describes it as "lncRNA (ENSECAG00000057112.1)". Lineage: Eukaryota; Metazoa; Chordata; Mammalia; Perissodactyla; Equidae. The record is from RNAcentral.